This is a non-coding RNA of Pelobates cultripes (western spadefoot toad), 203 nucleotides long. The record is from the annotation of a GenBank genome assembly. NCBI's taxonomy places the organism in Eukaryota, Metazoa, Chordata, Amphibia, Anura, Pelobatidae.
CCCUUACACACAUUCAAUGCAUCCCAUACAUACACAGAAACACACCUUGCAGUCCUUACACAUACAAACACAAUUUCACACAAUGCAUUCCUUACACACAUAUCAGGACAUCCCCUACACUCUCCACCCCCUGUGAACAAACUCAUUGGUGGAACAUGAAGGUGGACCCUGGGACCCAGACCUUGAGCUGUGUAAAGGACCCC